Molecule: long non-coding RNA, 330 nt
Filed under: dengue virus type 2
Lineage: Riboviria; Orthornavirae; Kitrinoviricota; Flasuviricetes; Amarillovirales; Flaviviridae
Description: Dengue virus 2 partial sfRNA1
Rfam family: Flavivirus DB element (bases 243-314)
Source: RNAcentral
UAGAAGUCAGGUCGGAUUAAGCCAUAGUACGGAAAAAACUAUGCUACCUGUGAGCCCCGUCCAAGGACGUUAAAAGAAGUCAGGCCAUCACAAAUGCCAUAGCUUGAGUAAACUAUGCUGCCUGUAGCUCCACCUGAGAAGGUGUAAAAAAUCUGGGAGGCCACAAACCAUGGAAGCUGUACGCAUGGCGUAGUGGACUAGCGGUUAGAGGAGACCCCUCCCUUAUAAAUCGCAGCAACAAUGGGGGCCCAAGGCGAGAUGAAGCUGUAAUCUCGCUGGAAGGACUAGAGGUUAGAGGAGACCCCCCCGAAACAAAAACAGCAUAUGACG